Molecule: ribosomal RNA, 253 nt
Filed under: uncultured Pelobacter sp.
Lineage: Bacteria; Pseudomonadati; Thermodesulfobacteriota; Desulfuromonadia; Desulfuromonadales; Desulfuromonadaceae
Description: partial 16S ribosomal RNA
Rfam family: Bacterial small subunit ribosomal RNA
Source: RNAcentral
UACGGAGGGUGCGAGCGUUGUUCGGAAUUAUUGGGCGUAAAGCGCGUGUAGGCGGCUGUUUAAGUCCGAUGUGAAAGCCCUGGGCUCAACCCGGGAAGUGCAUUGGAAACUGGACAGCUUGAGUACGGGAGAGGGUAGUGGAAUUCCGAGUGUAGGGGUGAAAUCCGUAGAUAUUCGGAGGAACACCGGUGGCGAAGGCGGCUACCUGGACCGAUACUGACGCUGAGACGCGAAAGCGUGGGGAGCAAACAGG